RNAcentral lists this ribosomal RNA (519 nucleotides) under Edwardsium lobipes. RNAcentral describes it as "partial 16S ribosomal RNA". It matches the Rfam family "Bacterial large subunit ribosomal RNA", at positions 1829 to 2597 of the family's 2925-position model. Lineage: Eukaryota; Metazoa; Arthropoda; Malacostraca; Decapoda; Xanthidae. The record is from RNAcentral.
GUCCGUUUGAAGAUAUAAAUGGUCUGGCCUGCUCACUGAUAAAAUUAUUUAAGAGCCGCGGUAUAUUGACCGUGCAAAGGUAGCAUAAUCAUUAGGGGUUUAAUUGGAACCUGGAAUGAAGGGUUGGACAAAGGAAAGACUGUCUUUGUGGUAAAGAUUGAAAUUUACUUUUAAGUGAAAAGGCUUAAGUGAAUCAAAGGGACGAUAAGACCCUAUAAAGCUUUAUAAAUUAUUUAUAUUAAAUUGAUUUCAAGAAUAAAAAUUGAGUUUAAUUAUUUUAUUUUGUUGGGGUGAUGUGAGUAUAAUUGUUAUUAACUGCUUAAGAAUAAUACUUUUAUAAUAGAAUUGGUGUAAUAUGAUCCUUUUUAGAGAUUAAAAGAAUAAGUUACUUUAGGGAUAACAGCGUUAUUUCUUUUGAGAGUUCAUAUCGAAAAAGAAGAUUGCGACCUCGAUGUUGAAUUAAAAUGUCUAUAUAAUGCAGCCGUUAUAAAAGAAGGUCUGUUCGACCUUUAAAUUUUU